Molecule: ribosomal RNA, 312 nt
Filed under: uncultured fungus
Lineage: Eukaryota; Fungi
Description: SSU rRNA
Rfam family: Eukaryotic small subunit ribosomal RNA
Source: RNAcentral
UAACCUGCUAAAUAGCCCGUAUUGCUUUGGCAGUACGCUGGCUUCUUAGAGGGACUAUCGGCUCAAGCCGAUGGAAGUUUGAGGCAAUAACAGGUCUGUGAUGCCCUUAGAUGUUUUGGGCCGCACGCGCGCUACACUGACAGAGCCAGCGAGUACUCCCUUGGCCGGAAGGCCCGGGUAAUCUUGUUAAACUCUGUCGUGCUGGGGAUAGAGCAUUGCAAUUAUUGCUCUUCAACGAGGAAUCCCUAGUAAGCGCAAGUCAUCAGCUUGCGUUGAUUACGUCCCUGCCCUUUGUACACACCGCCCGUCGCU